RNAcentral lists this ribosomal RNA (495 nucleotides) under uncultured bacterium. RNAcentral describes it as "partial 16S ribosomal RNA". It matches the Rfam family "Bacterial small subunit ribosomal RNA", at positions 28 to 507 of the family's 1533-position model. The record is from RNAcentral.
GACGAACGCUGGCGGCGUGCCUAAUACAUGCAAGUAGAACGCUGAAGGAGGAGCUUGCUUCUCUGGAUGAGUUGCGAACGGGUGAGUAACGCGUAGGUAACCUGCCUGGUAGCGGGGGAUAACUAUUGGAAACGAUAGCUAAUACCGCAUAAGAGUAGAUGUUGCAUGACAUUUGCUUAAAAGGUGCAAUUGCAUCACUACCAGAUGGACCUGCGUUGUAUUAGCUAGUUGGUGGGGUAACGGCUCACCAAGGCGACGAUACAUAGCCGACCUGAGAGGGUGAUCGGACACACUGGGACUGAGACACGGCCCAGACUCCUACGGGAGGCAGCAGUAGGGAAUCUUCGGCAAUGGACGGAAGUCUGACCGAGCAACGCCGCGUGAGUGAAGAAGGUUUUCGGAUCGUAAAGCUCUGUUGUAAGAGAAGAACGAGUGUGAGAGUGGAAAGUUCACACUGUGACGGUAUCUUACCAGAAAGGGACGGCUAACUACGUG